Molecule: ribosomal RNA, 420 nt
Filed under: Anaerolineales bacterium
Lineage: Bacteria; Bacillati; Chloroflexota; Anaerolineae; Anaerolineales
Description: bacterial SSU rRNA
Rfam family: Bacterial small subunit ribosomal RNA
Source: RNAcentral
UUUACGGAGAGUUUGAUCCUGGCUCAGGAUGAACGCUAGCGGUGUGCUUAAUGCAUGCAAGUCGAACGGGAUCCCAUGGAUUCGUCCAGGGUGAGAGUGGCGGACGGGUGAGUAACGCGUUGGUGACCUGCCUCGGAGAGGGGGACAACCAUUGGAAACGAUGGCUAAUACCCCGGAUGUUAUCGAGUUUAGAAAUCGAUAACUAAAGCUCUGGCGCUCCGAGAGGGGCCAGCGUCCCAUCAGCUUGUUGGUGAGGUAACGGCUCACCAAGGCUCAGACGGGUAGGGGGCGUGAGAGCGUGACCCCCCACACUGGUACUGAAACACGGACCAGAUACCUACGGGUAGCAGCAGCAAGGAAUAUUGCGCAAUGGGCGAAAGCCUGACGCAGCAACACCGCGUGGAGGAUGAAGGCUUUCGG